GUAGGUGAACCUGCGGAAGGAUCAUUAUUGAAUUAUGUUUUCUAGAUGGGUUGUAGCUGGCUCCUAGGAGCAUGUGCACGCCUGUCUGGACUUCAUUUUCAUCCACCUGUGCACCUUUUGUAGUCUUUGUUGGGUAUGGAGGAAGUGGUCAGCCUUAUCAGCUCUUGCUGGAUAUGAGGACUUGCAGUGUGAAAGCAGUGCUGUCCGCUACUUGGCCAUGGAAUCUGUUUCCCGUCAGAGUCUAUGUUAU
Molecule: unclassified non-coding RNA, 250 nt
Filed under: plant metagenome
Description: partial contains small subunit ribosomal RNA, internal transcribed spacer 1, and 5.8S ribosomal RNA
Source: RNAcentral